RNAcentral lists this long non-coding RNA (371 nucleotides) under Ananas comosus (pineapple). RNAcentral describes it as "long non-coding RNA (ACOM_LNC027963)". Lineage: Eukaryota; Viridiplantae; Streptophyta; Magnoliopsida; Poales; Bromeliaceae. The record is from RNAcentral.
UCCAUGUUUUUAGACAUAAGGACUUGAUAUUUGGACGGAUCUUGCAUUACUUGCCAUUGUGCUCAUUCGUACAUGCUUGUGAGGGUCGCUCCCUACAAGCCGGCACUCCGGAGAUGGCCAUCGCGAUACAUAUUCGCCGUGCGGGAUUGGGCGCCGAAGUGGAUUGCCGUGGGAAAGGCUCAUUCCUAGAGUGGGGAUGUUGACUACCACGGGGCCAUUAGGCUCGGCACCGGCCAGACAGCCUACGGGUGGGUCUCAGGGCCAGACAGCCUUCGGGCGGGUCUCUUCAGAUUUGACUUUGAGCAUUCAUCAUGCCAUGUGAACAUUGACUAGAAUAGUAAAUAAUGACAUCUUUACUAUUUGACUUAUGG